Molecule: ribosomal RNA, 253 nt
Filed under: uncultured bacterium
Lineage: Bacteria
Description: partial 16S ribosomal RNA
Rfam family: Bacterial small subunit ribosomal RNA
Source: RNAcentral
UACGGGGGGGGCAAGCGUUGUUCGGAAUUACUGGGCGUAAAGGGCUCGUAGGCGGCCAACUAAGUCGGACGUGAAAUCCCCAGGCUCAACCUGGGAACUGCGUCCGAUACUGGAUGGCUUGAAUUCGGGAGAGGGAUGCGGAAUUCCAGGUGUAGCGGUGAAAUGCGUAGAUAUCUGGAGGAACACCGGUGGCGAAGGCGGCAUCCUGGACCGGCAUUGACGCUGAGGCGCGAAAGCCAGGGGAGCAAACGGG